AGGGUGGCUGCUUCUGCUUGGUCUGAAUUAGGUUUCUUUGGUCGGGUUCCUAAGAGCACAUGAGAGGCUGUGAACACCCCAGUGAAGAUGAUGAGUCAGGGAGCAGAGGUCUUAGGAGUUGAAGGCUGGGGAACUCAAGGCUUCACCUGGCAUAGUGGCCCAUGCCUGAAUGAUUUGUGGACUCUGGGGGCUUAGCUUUGUAGGGCUUUGGGAAGGGCAACUAUGAGUGGGUGGGAUAAAUUCUCAGUGUCCCUGG
RNAcentral lists this long non-coding RNA (256 nucleotides) under Homo sapiens (human). RNAcentral describes it as "non-protein coding lnc-KLF18-10:1". Lineage: Eukaryota; Metazoa; Chordata; Mammalia; Primates; Hominidae. The record is from RNAcentral.